Non-coding RNA from Lepisosteus oculatus (spotted gar), 1079 nucleotides. The record is from RefSeq and is a predicted model, not a curated record. NCBI's taxonomy places the organism in Eukaryota, Metazoa, Chordata, Actinopteri, Semionotiformes, Lepisosteidae.
UGCAGUACCCUGAUUGGCUGAACUGCCACCGGGAGUCCCUCCCUCCUGACCAAUACCAGCGCUACGAGCAGCAGCACAGACUCAUGGGAGAAAUCUGCCAGCAGUUUGAGGUCGAGGGUGAGCAGGGCUGCUUUGAGACCGUGCUGGAACUUAUGCAGCAGCUGCAGGAUCUUGGUCACCCUCCCAAAGAGUUAGCAGGAGAGACGCCCCCGGGCAUGAACUUUGACCUGGACUCGCUCCAUCUCCCAGGAGCCACUGCGGGUGGCGAGCAGUGCGCCAUCAUGUGACCUCCCGGACGGGCGAUAAGAUGGGGAAAGAGGGAAGAAAGGGUGACGCCCACUCUUUUCCACGAGCUCGCUCGCCCUCUCUCUCUCGGCCAGCUGGAGAUUAAACGGUUUAAAACAGACUGCCGCCCUCGUGGUGAACUUUCACAGCCACCUUCUUUUCCCAUGUCAAGUGCAGUGUUCCUCUGUUGACCACCGCUGAAUACCUCUCGAGUGAAUCCAGCCCCUGAUUUAUAGUUAGGUGGGGACAUCACUGUCUUGCAGUGCACAGCAUUGGGAAGCCAUGGCAUGUUCAUGGGAAAUGGAGUUUCCGGUUCCUAUCUGUGUGGUAGGUUUCAGCUAAACUACAAUUCCCUCCAUGCUGUGGUGUGUACCAGGAUGCUUCCCUGGUAAUCUGAGUCAAUUUACGAUCUUCCUGUAUAGGUAGAAGUGUUGAGUUUACAAUUCUACUGCAGUUGGGACUUAAGAAAGGAUACAAACGAGACGAUGGUCCUUGUAGUUGGUUAUUAAUUGAUCCAAGGAUCUCAUCCAGCUGUUUCUUAAAUGAAACAAAUUAAAUGAGACUUUUUGUGUUCAGUGCUGUCUGAGGGUGUAAUACAAGGCGAGUGGGAAAGACUCAGAGGCAUUUGAAAAAAUCAGAUACAGAAGUUAGCUGAAAGGCCACUGGUACAGCGAGACAGAGACAGCAGGGAUCCCAAUUUUAAAUGAUGCUACAGUACAUGGGUACACUUGCACUUAGAAUCCUGGGGGUUUGGGGGUUCCUGUAUUCAAGGACACUUGAGUACAGCUGGUUGC